This 483-nucleotide ribosomal RNA is filed under the name uncultured bacterium. RNAcentral describes it as "SSU rRNA". It matches the Rfam family "Bacterial small subunit ribosomal RNA", at positions 26 to 523 of the family's 1533-position model. The record is from RNAcentral.
AGGACGAACGCUGGCGGCGUGCUUAACACAUGCAAGUCGAGCGGUGAUCCUCCUUCGGGAGGUGAUCAGCGGCGAACGGGUGAGUAACACGUGGGCAACCUGCCCCUCACACUGGGAUAACCUCGGGAAACCGGGGCUAAUACCGGAUACGACCUCGAGCGGCAUCUCUUGAGGUGGAAAGCUCCGACGGUGAGGGAUGGGCCCGCGGCCUAUCAGCUUGUUGGUGGGGUAAUGGCCUACCAAGGCGACGACGGGUAGCCGGCCUGAGAGGGCGACCGGCCACACUGGGACUGAGACACGGCCCAGACUCCUACGGGAGGCAGCAGUGGGGAAUAUUGCGCAAUGGGCGAAAGCCUGACGCAGCGACGCCGCGUGAGGGAUGAAGGCCUUCGGGUUGUAAACCGUCUUUCAGCAGGGACGAAGCGAAAGUGACGGUACCUGCAGAAGAAGCACCGGCUAACUACGUGCCAGCAGCCGCGGUAA